RNAcentral lists this transfer RNA (72 nucleotides) under Caudoviricetes sp. RNAcentral's name for it is "tRNA-Glu". It matches the Rfam family "tRNA". Rfam says of the family: Transfer RNA (tRNA) molecules are approximately 80 nucleotides in length. Their secondary structure includes four short double-helical elements and three loops (D, anti-codon, and T loops). Lineage: Duplodnaviria; Heunggongvirae; Uroviricota; Caudoviricetes. The record is from RNAcentral.
GGUCCGUUCGACAAGUGGUUAAGUCAUUGCCCUUUCACGGCAAAGUCAGGGGUUCAAAUCCCCUACGGACUA